AACUAAGCUAAGGGUAGCUAACAAAACAAAAAAAUACUACGUCGCAUAGUGUAGCGUUUUUAGCCUGUCGUCAAAAAGAUCUAAUUUAACGUUACACUUGACCCUACUAGCUAGCUAGACAGAUUUACACAUUCCAGCAUAUAUUUUGUUAAUUCAGUGUUUUGAGCUUUUGAGAAAAAAAUACAUUUUGUAUGUUAUUGUUCAUAAAACCGAUUGAUGGCGUCCUCGUUUGCGUGGACUACAGGGCGCUACCGUGUGACGUAUUUUUGUUACCUUACCUAGCCUUAUCUUAUAGCUAUUUUUUCGCAAAAGGAUGAGUGAUUGUUCGGUAUUAUGUAGUUGGUUGAUGGCGAUAACCGCUACGUAUAUUAUUAAGGGCACACAAAACAUGUGGAAAAGUUUAUUCAAUCACAAAAAAGCAAACUCAGUUUAUGUCGCAGGUGGUCAAAAUCUCAAUCCUCAAUUCAUUUUAAUAGCGAGUACCCCAGGUUGCACCCCGGGUGGGUGUGUUUUUUUACGUGCUACGUCACGCCGUAUGUCUCCAUACGCGGAUGUUUGGUUUACUCAUCAAACAGUUCAAACUAAGUCCCGCCUCUGACUGGGCAGAUAGCCAAUCAUAGUUUAGGAUAAUGGGGUGGCACCUGGGGUGGCCAAUCAGAUUCCAGGGAUGGCCCGUCCUACCCCAGGCCACUCCCUGGACAUGCCCCUGGGUUAGGGCUCUGGCUCCUGAAUAAUUUGUGCAGGAGUGGUGUGGCUUUCAGCUGGACUGUAUUAAGUUCCCAGAACUCAAACUGUAACGUGCAACCCGUGAGAUUCUGACAUGGCAUCAGACGAACCUCGCCACAACAUUCUAUCACUACUGGAUCCUGCUGGUGUCGGACUACUUCUACGCCUACCUGCGGAGGGAGCACCACCUGGCGCACGGGCUGUACCUGAAACGCAAGGACGGGAGCGAGGCCACGCUGGUGCUCAAGUAGAUCUGGGCGUGGCGGUGGGCGUAGCCAUGGGCGUGGCUCUGACAUCGCCACAGCGCUCGACUCCUCCGGGCUUUCAUUGUAAGAUACGUCUGUUUGGCUUUGUUCUGCGGAGCUGCUCCUCAUAGACCAAAGUCUCGGAAUUCUGAGGGCACUCUGGAUGGAAGCUGUGAAGUUCAUGAGCCAAGAAGCACUGUAGGACCCAUGCCCUCCUGCAGACUACUGGAGGAUUGUGGGAUUUGUAGUCUUAUCCUAUUUUUUUGAUCUUUGCAUCUGCAUCUUUCACUAUGAUUUUGGAAAGGACCAGCAAACUCUCUCUCUCUC
Long non-coding RNA from Anguilla rostrata (American eel), 1298 nucleotides. RefSeq lists it as uncharacterized. The record is from RefSeq and is a predicted model, not a curated record. The transcript is spliced from 2 exons. NCBI's taxonomy places the organism in Eukaryota, Metazoa, Chordata, Actinopteri, Anguilliformes, Anguillidae.